AGAGGUCGAUGGAUCGAAACCAU
RNAcentral lists this non-coding RNA (23 nucleotides) under Gallus gallus (chicken). RNAcentral also lists the same sequence under 2 other names. Lineage: Eukaryota; Metazoa; Chordata; Aves; Galliformes; Phasianidae. The record is from RNAcentral.